RNAcentral lists this ribosomal RNA (305 nucleotides) under uncultured bacterium. Its description in RNAcentral is "partial 16S ribosomal RNA". It matches the Rfam family "Bacterial small subunit ribosomal RNA", at positions 508 to 809 of the family's 1533-position model. The record is from RNAcentral.
ACAGCAGUAGCCGCGGGAAUACGAAGGGUGCAAGCGUUACUCGGAAUUACUGGGCGUAAAGCGUGCGUAGGUGGUGGUUUAAGUCCGUUGUGAAAGCCCUGGGCUCAACCUGGGAAUUGCAGUGGAUACUGGGUCACUAGAGUGUGGUAGAGGAUAGUGGAAUUUCCGGUGUAGCAGUGAAAUGCGUAGAGAUCGGAAGGAACAUCUGUGGCGAAGGCGACUAUCUGGGCCAACACUGACACUGAGGCACGAAAGCGUGGGGAGCAAACAGGAUUAGAUACCCCUGUAGUCCCUGUCUCUUAUAA